This 296-nucleotide small nuclear RNA is filed under the name Jaculus jaculus (lesser Egyptian jerboa). RNAcentral's name for it is "7SK RNA (ENSJJAG00000006801.1)". It matches the Rfam family "7SK RNA". Rfam says of the family: 7SK was discovered as an abundant small nuclear RNA in the mid-70s but a possible function has only recently been suggested. Two independent studies have found that 7SK RNA binds the CDK9/cyclin T complex (known as elongation factor P-TEFb). The record is from Rfam by way of RNAcentral. Lineage: Eukaryota; Metazoa; Chordata; Mammalia; Rodentia; Dipodidae.
GAAUGGGAGGGUGAUUUGGCUGUGAAAUAAGCCACCGCUCAUCCUCAGGGCAGACUCUGUUGAUCUGACUGGCUAGGCAGUUUAGUCCAUCCCACCUCACUGACCCAUGCCCAUUUCUUAUGGUUCUGCAUGGUCUGUCCAGAGAUAGGCCAUUGUUAAUGAAAGAGAACCAUUUUUCACUAUGCAGAAGGAUCCUUAUUUGGUAUAGGAGUGGUUGCCACACACUGCAAUGGUAUUCAAACAAUCUCUAUCUGAGAAACAGAAAUAACUCCAGAGCCAGUGUCUGGACUGCAAAU